This 443-nucleotide ribosomal RNA is filed under the name uncultured bacterium. RNAcentral describes it as "partial 16S ribosomal RNA". It matches the Rfam family "Bacterial small subunit ribosomal RNA", at positions 338 to 795 of the family's 1533-position model. The record is from RNAcentral.
CCUACGGGAGGCAGCAGUGGGGAAUAUUGGGCAAUGGGCGCAAGCCUGACCCAGCAACGCCGCGUGAAGGAAGAAGGCUUUCGGGUUGUAAACUUCUUUUCGCAGGGACGAAGCAAGUGACGGUACCUGAGGAAUAAGCCACGGCUAACUACGUGCCAGCAGCCGCCGUAAUACGUAGGUGGCAAGCGUUAUCUGGAUUUACUGGGUGUAAAGGGCGUGUAGGCGGGAAAGCAAGUCAGAUGUGAAAACCAUGGGCUCAACGUGUGGCAUGCAGUUGAAACUGUUUAACUUGAGUACUGGAGAGGCAGACGGAAUGCCUGGUGUAGCGGUGAAAUGCGUAGAUAUUAGGAGGAACAUCAGUGGCGAAGGCGGUUAGCUGGACCGCAACUGACGCUGAGGCGCGAAAGCGUGGGGAGCAAACAGGAUUAGAUACCCUAGUAGUC